RNAcentral lists this ribosomal RNA (406 nucleotides) under uncultured bacterium. RNAcentral's name for it is "partial 16S ribosomal RNA". It matches the Rfam family "Bacterial small subunit ribosomal RNA", at positions 30 to 526 of the family's 1533-position model. The record is from RNAcentral.
AUUGAACGCUGGCGGCAGGCCUAACACAUGCAAGUCGAGCGAGCGGCGGACGGGUGAGUAAUGUAUGGGGAUCUGCCUGAUGGAUGGGGAUAACUACUGGAAACGAUGGCUAAUACCGCCUACUCUCGCCUGAACCCAUAUGGGAUUAGCUAGUAGGUGGGGUAACGGAGCACCUAGGCGCCGAUCUCUAGCUGGUCUGAGAGGAUGAUCAGCCACACUGGGACUGAGACACGGUCCAGACUCCUACGGGAGGCAGCAGUGGGGAAUAUUGCACAAUGGGCGAAAGCCUGAUGAAGCCAUGCCGCGUGUAUGAAGAAGGCCUUAGGGUUGUAAAGUACUUUCAGCUGGGAGGCGUUACCGACAGAAGAAGCACCGGCUAACUCCGUGCCAGCAGCCGCGGUAAUAC